GUGUAUGUAGCUCAGUGGUAGAGCACUUGCCUGGCAUGCAUGAGGCCCUGGGUUCAAUACCCAGCACCACA
RNAcentral lists this transfer RNA (71 nucleotides) under Ictidomys tridecemlineatus (thirteen-lined ground squirrel). RNAcentral describes it as "Spermophilus tridecemlineatus (thirteen-lined ground squirrel) tRNA". It matches the Rfam family "tRNA". Rfam says of the family: Transfer RNA (tRNA) molecules are approximately 80 nucleotides in length. Their secondary structure includes four short double-helical elements and three loops (D, anti-codon, and T loops). Lineage: Eukaryota; Metazoa; Chordata; Mammalia; Rodentia; Sciuridae. The record is from Rfam by way of RNAcentral.